RNAcentral lists this ribosomal RNA (1123 nucleotides) under uncultured bacterium. Its description in RNAcentral is "bacterial SSU rRNA". It matches the Rfam family "Bacterial small subunit ribosomal RNA", at positions 47 to 1162 of the family's 1533-position model. The record is from RNAcentral.
AUUGAUUUUAUGCUUGCAUAAAUGAUUUUUGGAUUCGGAGCGAGUGGCGAACUGGUGAGUAACACGUGGGUAACCUGCCCCGAAGCGGGGGAUAACAUUUGGAAACAAGUGCUAAUACCGCAUAACUAGUUGGAACCGCAUGGUUCCAACUUGAAAGAUGGCUCUGCUAUCACUUUGGGAUGGACCCGCGCCGUAUUAGUUAGUUGGUGAGAUAAAAGCCCACCAAGACGAUGAUACGUAGCCGACCUGAGAGGGUAAUCGGCCACAUUGGGACUGAGACACGGCCCAGACUCCUACGGGAGGCAGCAGUAGGGAAUCUUCCACAAUGGACGAAAGUCUGAUGGAGCAACGCCGCGUGAGUGAUGAAGGUUUUCGGAUCGUAAAACUCUGUUGUUAAAGAAGAACAAGUGUUAGAGUAACUGUUAACACUUUGACGGUAUUUAACCAGAAAGCCACGGCUAACUACGUGCCAGCAGCCGCGGUAAUACGUAGGUGGCAAGCGUUGUCCGGAUUUAUUGGGCGUAAAGCGAGCGCAGGCGGUUUUGUAAGUCUGCUGUGAAAGCCCUCAGCUCAACUGAGGAAGUGCAGUGGAAACUACAAAACUUGAGUACAGAAGAGGAAAGUGGAACUCCAUGUGUAGCGGUGAAAUGCGUAGAUAUAUGGAAGAACACCAGUGGCGAAGGCGGCUUUCUGGUCUGUUACUGACGCUGAGGCUCGAAAGCAUGGGUAGCGAACAGGAUUAGAUACCCUGGUAGUCCAUGCCGUAAACGAUGAAUACUAGGUGUUGGAGGGUUUCCGCCCUUCAGUGCCGCAGCUAACGCAUUAAGUAUUCCGCCUGGGGAGUACGACCGCAAGGUUGAAACUCAAAGGAAUUGACGGGGGCCCGCACAAGUGGUGGAGCAUGUGGUUUAAUUCGAUGCUACGCGAAGAACCUUACCAGCUCUUGACAUCUUCUGCCAACCCAAGAGAUUGGGCGUUCCCUUCGGGGACAGAAUGACAGGUGGUGCAUGGUUGUCGUCAGCUCGUGUCGUGAGAUGUUGGGUUAAGUCCCGCAACGAGCGCAACCCUUAUUAUUAGUUGCCAGCAUUUAGUUGGGCACUCCAGUGAGACUGCCGGUGAUAAA